Molecule: small nuclear RNA, 121 nt
Filed under: Lynx canadensis (Canada lynx)
Lineage: Eukaryota; Metazoa; Chordata; Mammalia; Carnivora; Felidae
Description: U2 spliceosomal RNA (ENSLCNG00005022571.1)
Rfam family: U2 spliceosomal RNA
About the family: U2 is a small nuclear RNA (snRNA) component of the spliceosome (involved in pre-mRNA splicing). Complementary binding between U2 snRNA (in an area lying towards the 5' end but 3' to hairpin I) and the branchpoint sequence (BPS) of the intron results the bulging out of an unpaired adenosine, on the BPS, which initiates a nucleophilic attack at the intronic 5' splice site, thus starting the first of two transesterification reactions that mediate splicing.
Source: Rfam by way of RNAcentral
AUCGCUUCUCGGCCUUUUGGCUAAGAUCAAGUGUAAAAUAGACCGCUUACAUUCAUCUUUGACAUAUUGGCCACCACAUUAUUUUGUGUUUCGCUUUGUUUCACUUAACACUGGAGCUGUU